AAGUCCUUUAACACAGUCCCGUGAGGCUGAGAAGGAAACGGAUUCGAGCAUAUAAAGGGUGUACUAUGCCCAGAUCUAUAUGCCUUCAAUGAACACGUACCCUCUCGCCGCAGCGGCGAGAGGGUUUUUUAAU
Bacillus methanolicus MGA3 is the source of this 133-nucleotide regulatory RNA element. It matches the Rfam family "PyrR binding site". Rfam says of the family: This family represents the PyrR binding site and terminator structure. This RNA structure is found upstream of a variety of genes involved in pyrimidine biosynthesis and transport. The alignment also includes a portion of the antiterminator structure. The record is from Rfam. NCBI's taxonomy places the organism in Bacteria, Bacillati, Bacillota, Bacilli, Caryophanales, Bacillaceae.